GGAAAAAUACAUACCAUAAGGAAGAGUGGGGCGAUAAGAAAAAAUAUCACGACGUCUGGAGAGAUAAGGACUGGAAAAGCAAAUGGAAAAGUCAUAAGGACUACAAAAAGUCAAAUCACGGCAAAAAAUAUGGCGGAAAACACGGCAAAAAAUAUUACAAGAAGAAAAAACACGGAAAACAUUACGAUAAACACGGAAAAGGUGGUUGGAAGCAUCACCAUGGUAAGGAAUAUAAAAAAGGAUCCAAAAAGUACCACAAAGAUCACGGACACAAAUGGAAAGGUGGCGGACAUAAAAAGAAACAUUGGGGAGGUCAUCACAAAAAGAAAGAUUGGGACUCUCAUGGCAAACACGGAUACAAAAAAGGAAAAAAACAUAAGGGUUG
Long non-coding RNA from Oppia nitens, 385 nucleotides. RefSeq lists it as uncharacterized. The record is from RefSeq and is a predicted model, not a curated record. NCBI's taxonomy places the organism in Eukaryota, Metazoa, Arthropoda, Arachnida, Sarcoptiformes, Oppiidae. The transcript has 5 exons.